Molecule: ribosomal RNA, 253 nt
Filed under: uncultured bacterium
Lineage: Bacteria
Description: partial 16S ribosomal RNA
Rfam family: Bacterial small subunit ribosomal RNA
Source: RNAcentral
UACGAAGGGGGAGAGCGUUGUCCGGAUUUAUUGGGCGUAAAGAGCGUGUAGGCGGCCGAGCAGGUCCGUUGUGAAAACUGAAGGCUCAACCUUCAGAGGUCGAUGGAAACCGUUCGGCUAGAGUCCGGAAGAGGAGAGUGGAAUUCCUGGUGUAGCGGUGAAAUGCGCAGAUAUCAGGAAGAACACCCGUGGCGAAAGCGGCUCUCUGGGACGGUACUGACGCUGAGACGCGAAAGCGUGGGGAGCUAACAGG